GGCUAGGUCAGUUUGUAGAGCAUGGGACUCUUGAUCCCAGGAUUGUGGGUUUGAGCCCCACGCAGCCA
RNAcentral lists this transfer RNA (68 nucleotides) under Pangasianodon gigas (Mekong giant catfish). RNAcentral describes it as "tRNA-Lys". It matches the Rfam family "tRNA". Rfam says of the family: Transfer RNA (tRNA) molecules are approximately 80 nucleotides in length. Their secondary structure includes four short double-helical elements and three loops (D, anti-codon, and T loops). The record is from RNAcentral. Lineage: Eukaryota; Metazoa; Chordata; Actinopteri; Siluriformes; Pangasiidae.